GUGAGUAACCUGCCCUUGACUCUGGGAUAAGCCUGGGAAACUGGGUCUAAUACUGGAUACUACCUCUUACCGCAUGGUGGGUGGUGGAAAGGGUUUUACUGGUUUUGGAUGGGCUCACGGCCUAUCAGCUUGUUGGUGGGGUAAUGGCUCACCAAGGCGACGACGGGUAGCCGGCCUGAGAGGGUGACCGGCCACACUGGGACUGAGACACGGCCCAGACUCCUACGGGAGGCAGCAGUGGGGAAUAUUGCACAAUGGGCGGAAGCCUGAUGCAGCGACGCCGCNUGAGGGAUGACGGCCUUCGGGUUGUAAACCUCUUUCAGUAGGGAAGAAGCGAGAGUGACGGUACCUGCAGAAGAAGCGCCGGCUAACUACGUGCCAGCAGCCGCGGUAAUACGUAGGGCGCAAGCGUUGUCCGGAAUUAUUGGGCGUAAAGAGCUCGUAGGCGGUUUGUCGCGUCUGCUGUGAAAGCCCGGGGCUCAACCCCGGGUCUGCAGUGGGUACGGGCAGACUAGAGUGCAGUAGGGGAGACUGGAAUUCCUGGUGUAGCGGUGAAAUGCGCAGAUAUCAGGAGGAACACCGAUGGCGAAGGCAGGUCUCUGGGCUGUUACUGACGCUG
This 619-nucleotide ribosomal RNA is filed under the name Kocuria rosea. RNAcentral's name for it is "bacterial SSU rRNA". It matches the Rfam family "Bacterial small subunit ribosomal RNA", at positions 117 to 748 of the family's 1533-position model. Lineage: Bacteria; Bacillati; Actinomycetota; Actinomycetes; Micrococcales; Micrococcaceae. The record is from RNAcentral.